UAGGGAAUCUUCCACAAUGGACGCGAGUCUGAUGGAGCAACGCCGCGUGAGUGAAGAAGGUUUUCGGAUCGUAAAGCUCUGUUGUUGGUGAAGAAGGAUAGAGGCAGUAACUGGUCUUUAUUUGACGGUAAUCAACCAGAAAGUCACGGCUAACUACGUGCCAG
This 164-nucleotide ribosomal RNA is filed under the name uncultured bacterium. Its description in RNAcentral is "partial 16S rRNA". It matches the Rfam family "Bacterial small subunit ribosomal RNA", at positions 355 to 511 of the family's 1533-position model. The record is from RNAcentral.